AGAGUUUGAUCAUGGCUCAGAACGAACGCUGGCGGCGUGGAUAAGACAUGCAAGUUGAACGCGACAUUCAUCGUAGCAAUACGGUGGGUGUUGAGUAGCGCAAGGGUGCGUAACACGUGGGAAUCUACCAUGAAGUUGGGGAUAACUCGCUGAAAGGCGAGCUAAUACCGAAUGUGGCUGCAAAGCUAAAGCUGGGGACCGCAAGGCCUGGCGCUUCCUGAUGAGCCCGCGGCCUAUCAGCUAGUUGGCGGGGUAAAGGCCCACCAAGGCGAAGACGGGUAGCUGGUCUGAGAGGACGACCAGCCACACUGGAACUGAGACACGGUCCAGACACCUACGGGUGGCAGCAGUCGAGAAUUUUUCUCAAUGGGCGCAAGCCUGAAGGAGCGACGCCGCGUGGGGGAUGAAGGGUUUCGAUCCGUAAACCCCUGUCAUUUGUGAACAAUGGUUAUCGUUUAAGAGAUGAUGACUUGAUAGUAAUGAAAGAGGAAGGGACGGCUAACUCUGUGCCAGCCGCCGCGGUAAUUC
Molecule: ribosomal RNA, 528 nt
Filed under: uncultured bacterium
Lineage: Bacteria
Description: bacterial SSU rRNA
Rfam family: Bacterial small subunit ribosomal RNA
Source: RNAcentral